UUGGGAUUAAUAAUCGGAAUCAUCAGUCGCAACAGUCACGUGGCCUGCGUACAGCGCUUCGCCCUCCUUUCCUUGAUCGCUACCGUAGCAAAGCAGUACGACAAUCUCGUCAGGCAUCUGAUGACGGAUAUACCACCAUUUUUGCGAAGGAUUAUGAUGAAUUCGGAUUCCGGCCCCAAACUGGGACCCUUGUUUAAAAGCUGUCGGCGGAGUCGACGGUCGAAAAUCAAGAGGGGAAAGUUUGUCAAUGGCCCUGACAACAAAUUUCAACUGUCAGGGAUGAACCUUAGCCAGAGGAUUAGAACUCGAGAAUACCUUUGAGGCGGCCCAGGCCUCCAGAUGUUUAUGAUUAUGCUUCGCUCAAGUUUGGAAGGAUCUUCACUUGUAACCAUGCACACGACAUGUCAGUCACCUGCGCCCAUGACUGCUCAUGGCUGCCGUCGAUUCUAAUCUAUUGCAUUCUCAUUGUCCAACUGCAUCAUAUUAUCCAGCCUUUUCAACGUCUCUACGCGUCUAUUCUGCCAAUACCAAAUUUCAUUCACAUCAAACUUUUGACUUUGUUUUAAUGCAUGCCACAGUUGGUCACUUGAAUAGCUAACAAACAGCUGUAGUCAGCUGGAAAGAAUAUGCGAAUUCAAAACACUUACUUCAUCUUGAUCAACAUGAGCAUGGGCAACUGCAGGUAGAAUCCUGGUAGUAGGAAUAACGCCUUUCUCGGGACCCUGUUGAUGCUCCACAAUCUUGGCUUGCUUUUCGUCUCACAAUGGGGUUACAUAGGGCUACUCUAGAGCAUCUAUGGUAUGUUUUCAUUAACCUGCAGCAUUUGUGCAUCAGCGUCUUCUGUUGCGAAUAUUCGGUC
This 859-nucleotide small RNA is filed under the name Cryptococcus neoformans H99. Its description in RNAcentral is "Cryptococcus neoformans var. grubii H99 hypothetical RNA". Lineage: Eukaryota; Fungi; Basidiomycota; Tremellomycetes; Tremellales; Cryptococcaceae. The record is from RNAcentral.